GGUUUAAAACUCAAUUGAAAAGGGGUAGUACUUGUGGUUGAGGCCCUUAAUCAAAUUUAAUGGCACCACCCGUUCGCCAGUGUGAUAACCAUCGAGAACGGCCAUUUCCUCGGCUGUCAGCUCAAAAUCGAAGAUAUCGAAGUUCUCAGAAAUUCGAUUCUGCGCCCUGUAUUAAAGGUCUUCAUUUGGAGCAACUCCUCCGGCGUUAGGUGGAAAUCAAAUAUAUCCAGAUUCUCUACGAGAUGGGCUCGCUGGGCAGCUUUUGGAAUAGGUCGUUUAUACCAAGUAUCUUAGGAUGAUUUGAGCUGGUGUCUUGCCGUAUUUCGCUGCCAACGCCAGUAGCUUGGAAUCAGUGUAGUAAUCGGGCAGCGGAUUGCA
RNAcentral lists this long non-coding RNA (378 nucleotides) under Drosophila melanogaster (fruit fly). Its description in RNAcentral is "antisense RNA:CR43868 (Dmel_CR43868)". The record is from RNAcentral. Lineage: Eukaryota; Metazoa; Arthropoda; Insecta; Diptera; Drosophilidae.